RNAcentral lists this ribosomal RNA (1485 nucleotides) under metagenome. RNAcentral describes it as "bacterial LSU rRNA". It matches the Rfam family "Bacterial large subunit ribosomal RNA", at positions 1416 to 2925 of the family's 2925-position model. The record is from RNAcentral.
CGAUGGACAACAGGUUGAAAUUCCUGUACCUUAAGUAAACAGAACUGUGGGGACACGUGUGGAGAGCACAAGCCGGAAAUGGAAAAGCCGGUGCAAGCGAGGUAGGAGUACAGUAGGCAAAUCCGCUGUACAAUCCGAAGACGUGAUGCGGACCGAAUUAAGAGUAGGGAAGUGUGUGAGCCAUGCGUCAAGAAAAGCCGCUAUUGUUUUACUUAAGCCCGUACCGUAAACCGACACAGGUGGAUGAGGAGAGAAUCCUAAGGCCGACGGGAGAAGCAUUGUUAAGGAACUCGGCAAAAUGACUCCGUAACUUCGGGAGAAGGAGUGCCAGCGAGAGCUGGCCGCAGAGAAUUGGCCCAAGCAACUGUUUAGCAAAAACACAGGUCUAUGCAAAACCGUAAGGUGAAGUAUAUGGGCUGACGCCUGCCCGGUGCUGGAAGGUUAAGAGGAGAGGUUAGCGGCAACGCGAAGCUUUGAAUUUAAGCCCCAGUAAACGGCGGCCGUAACUAUAACGGUCCUAAGGUAGCGAAAUUCCUUGUCGGGUAAGUUCCGACCCGCACGAAAGGCGUAAUGAUUUGGGCACUGUCUCAACAAUGCACCCGGUGAAAUUGAAAUACCAGUGAAGAUGCUGGUUACCUGCGCCAGGACGGAAAGACCCCAUGGAGCUUUACUCCAGCUUGAUACUGGGAUUCGGUAUUGCAUGUACAGGAUAGGUGGGAGGCUAGGAAGUGAUAACGCCAGUUGUCACGGAGCCGCUGUUGGGAUACCACCCUUGCAGUAUUGGAUUUCUAACCAGCGACCAUGAACUGGUCGGGGGACAAUGUCAGGUGGGGAGUUUGACUGGGGCGGUCGCCUCCGAAAGGGUAUCGGAGGCGCUCAAAGGUUCCCUCAGAAUGGACGGAAACCAUUCGAAGAGUGCAAAGGCAGAAGGGAGCUUGACUGCGACACCGACGGGUGGAGCGGGUACGAAAGUAGGACUUAGUGAUCCGGUGGUAUAAAGUGGGAUUGCCAUCGCUCAACGGAUAAAAGCUACCCUGGGAUAACAGGCUUAUCACUCCCAAGAGUUCACAUCGACGGAGUGGUUUGGCACCUCGAUGUCGGCUCAUCGCAUCCUGGGGCUGAAGUAGGUCCCAAGGGUUGGGCUGUUCGCCCAUUAAAGCGGUACGCGAGCUGGGUUCAGAACGUCGUGAGACAGUUCGGUCCCUAUCCGGCGUGGGCGUAGGAUAUUUGAGAGGAGCUGUCCUUAGUACGAGAGGACCGGGAUGGACUGGCCGCUGGUGUAUCUGUUGCAUACCAAAUGCAUGGCAGAGUAGCCAAGCCGGGACGGGAUAAACGCUGAAGGCAUCUAAGCGUGAAGCCCCCCUCAAGAUGAGAUAUCCCUACGUAAGUAGUAAGACCCCUUGAAGACGACGAGGUAGAUAGGUCAGAGGUGGAAGUACAGUAAUGUAUGGAGCUGACUGAUACUAAUCGGUCGAGGGCAUGACC